AUGGGAGGCCAGUGUGAAGCGAGUUGGACAGCUCCUCGCCCGGGUGCCCUUCCCGGCUGCCGCACAAGCGGUGCCCGCGCGGCCCAGGGAAGCGGCCGUUCGCCUCGGCCCCAGGCCUCGGGCCUCGGUACCGGCGGGGCCCGGCCCGGCCCGGAGACGGCCCGAGCCAGGGAAGGCCCGAGCCAGGCCCUGCCGCAGCCGGGGAGCUCGGGUGCCCCCCCGAGGCCAGCCGGCACCGGGCUCCCCCCGCAGCGAGCCCCGAGCACGGUCCGCACCGAGGGCAGCGGCCCGCGGGCCCCGCCCGGUGGUUCCGCCCAUGGCGGCGCCCUUCCCGCCUCUCCCGCCCCGCGCCGAGCGGAGGUCUCGCGAGAUCCGCCCCGGGUCAUGCGCCUGCGCAGUGCCGCGGCCCAGGGGAAAGGGGCGGAGCCUCUUCACCGCCGCCUCACGGUUCCGCCGCCAUCUUGUUUCUCGGCCGCUGGGCGCUCGCUCCGCUCUGGUCGCCCCCUCCCCCUCCUUCCCGCCUCCCUUCAGCCGGGCCGGAGGCAGCGCGGGCGCCGGGCGGAGGAGGCGGAGGUCGCGGCGCUGGCUGCCCCGGUUGCUGCACAGCCCCACAAAUGUUCUCGCUGGAUCAGCAGUAGAAGGAGCUCUGAGCAGCAGUGCCACCAAACGUUGAACUGUGACUCAUAUCUGACCAGUGCUUCCUUCUUUGAAGAUGCCAACUUACACUGGCCCCGUUUGUGUGGCUGCUUUUGAGCCCGAUGUGCUCAGUGAGCCUGUUCACUACGGGUGUCUCCACGAAGGAUUCCACAGAAGUUUUGUCAGAUGGUGCCCUCCACCCUAAACCCAGCAAACAGGAGUGUUUGUAGGUUUUUUCAUACAAAGAAGCAGGGGGAGAGGGAAGAGGUGUCUCGUGGGUUUCGUCUGUGAUGUCUGGCCAGGGAUUUCUGCAAUAUUACUUCCAUUCUGGUAUUUUAGAUUGCUACCUCUCCUAGUGUCAAAUACUGCUGCAUGUGCUGUGCGAGCAGCAGCGCAGACAGCUCUUCACAAACAUUGUAGUGAUUAAAAACAUGGAGAUGUCCUGGUGAGCACUUACAGGCAAAGUUAGAUCAAAUGAAAACAAACCACGUAGCCUUGCAGGUGACUACUGUAUUGCUGGAGCCAAACUCGCGUGUUGCUGACAGAGACAGUGGGUAGUUGUGCCAAGAGCAUCCAGCUCUGCUUGGGAAGGAGCCCCAGGAGGUGUCUUCCUCCCUCUGCAUCAGUGCUGCAAUGGCGGGCUGUUUGAGGGCUGUGCACGCACCAUGCGUGUGUGCGCACAUGCACGUUGUGCAAGUGCGUGCACCUUAUGUAUGUGCAUAUGCAUGAUGUGCAAGUGCACGCACCUGGUACGUGUGCACAUGCAGGUCGUGCAAGUGCAUGCACCUUGCACGUGUGUGUGCCCGUGCAAGUGCGUGCACCUUACGUGCGUGCACAUGCACGUCGAGUAAGCGCAGGCACCUGGCGCGUGCCCACGCGCAGCGUGUGUCCGCGUGCGUCCCCGCACGUGCCGCGCCGCCGACGCCCGCGCGCUGCCCCGUGACCCGCCGGUGCGCUCGGCGCCCCGUGACGCGGCGCGGGGGGGGGGGGCUGCAGGAGUGACAGCCUGGCGAGCCAAUCGGGAGCCGCGCCACGGCCCCCCCCCCGGCUGUUUGAAUAGGAGCCGGGCAGCCAAUAGGGGCCGGCGGGGCGGGCGGUGAGGCUCAGCAGGCCGCGG
Molecule: long non-coding RNA, 1753 nt
Organism: Apteryx haastii (Great spotted kiwi)
Lineage: Eukaryota; Metazoa; Chordata; Aves; Apterygiformes; Apterygidae
Source: Ensembl